GGCCGGUUGGCACAGAUGGUUAGCGCGUGGUGCUAAUAACGCCAAGGUCGUCGGUUCGAGCCCGGCACUGGCCA
This 74-nucleotide transfer RNA is filed under the name Fomitopsis schrenkii. Its description in RNAcentral is "tRNA-Ile (AAT) (tRNA-Ile-AAT-4-1)". It matches the Rfam family "tRNA". Rfam says of the family: Transfer RNA (tRNA) molecules are approximately 80 nucleotides in length. Their secondary structure includes four short double-helical elements and three loops (D, anti-codon, and T loops). Lineage: Eukaryota; Fungi; Basidiomycota; Agaricomycetes; Polyporales; Fomitopsidaceae. The record is from RNAcentral.